Molecule: long non-coding RNA, 676 nt
Filed under: Mustela putorius furo (domestic ferret)
Lineage: Eukaryota; Metazoa; Chordata; Mammalia; Carnivora; Mustelidae
Description: lncRNA (ENSMPUG00000025941.1)
Source: RNAcentral
GAGAAGGAAUCGUGACUUUGCCUGGAGACGUCCCCUACAUGGGAGACCGGGGGGGGGGGGGGGGGGGGGGGGGGGGGGGGGGGGGGGGGGGGGGGGGGAAGACCUAUCCAAUGAAAACCGCUGCCAGGGGGGCAUUUGAACUCCGCCGCUCGCUGUCUCGCUCUCCCUACUCGGCCCGGUGCACCUCUCUACCCCCUCCCAGCCGGCGCGCUCUCUGGCGCGCUCGCUCGCUCUCCCGCUAUCCGACGAGUCCUCAACAAGUUGGAGGAAAGCAGGAACGCAGGGGUUAAGCUCGGAAAGCAGCAAUUACCAAGAUCGUGACCCUCCCACACAGUACAGUAACUUAUAUACUUACCUGGAAGAGCCUGCUUUGCCGCUGGGCAAACACCCGUGGGGGGCGGGGAGGGGCGGGAGGGGAGCGGGCCGGUUGGAAAGGGACUCCUUCAAGCUGGCUGCAGUGCGGACGGGACCAGCGCGCUCUCGGGGCCCCCGGACCGAGGUAGUCAGACCUGUCCUGCCAGCUGGGGGUCUACGUGAGGGGUGGCCACUGGAGACAGGAGUCUGGGAGGCCACGGAACUGAAGAGUCUGAACACUGUGAGCUCCAGAGUCCCAGGUGAGUGCAAAGAUCCCUCAGCGCACGGCCCUUGGCCUGGGCAGAACCAAGGAGACUCCAUA